This 302-nucleotide ribosomal RNA is filed under the name uncultured bacterium. Its description in RNAcentral is "partial 16S ribosomal RNA". It matches the Rfam family "Bacterial small subunit ribosomal RNA", at positions 508 to 807 of the family's 1533-position model. The record is from RNAcentral.
GCAGUAGCCACGGUAAUACAGAGGGUGCGAGCGUUAAUCGGAUUUACUGGGCGUAAAGCGUGCGUAGGCGGCUUCUUAAGUCGGAUGUGAAAUCCCUGAGCUUAACUUAGGAAUUGCAUUCGAUACUGGGAAGCUAGAGUAUGGGAGAGGAUGGUAGAAUUCCAGGUGUAGCGGUGAAAUGCGUAGAGAUCUGGAGGAAUACCGAUGGCGAAGGCAGCCAUCUGGCCUAAUACUGACGCUGAGGUACGAAAGCAUGGGGAGCAAACAGGAUUAGAUACCCCCGUAGUCCCUGUCUCUUAUAC